CUACCCUGGACCCCCCAAUAGUGGAGGGCAGUAUGGUAGUGGGCUACCCCCUGGUGGUGGUUAUGGGGGUCCUGCCCCUGGAGGGCCUUAUGGACCACCAGCUGGUGGAGGGCCCUAUGGACACCCCAAUCCUGGGAUGUUCCCCUCUGGAACUCCAGGAGGACCAUAUGGCGGUGCAGCUCCCGGGGGCCCCUAUGGUCAGCCACCUCCAAGUUCCUACGGUGCCCAGCAGCCUGGGCUUUAUGGACAGGGGAUACAUGCUGAAGGAGCAGCUCCUGUUUGGGAUAUGUUAUCUUUGUGGCAGAGAGAAGGAGCAGGAGAGCUAGCAAGAAUGCACAAUGCCUCUUAAAGCUUCUCUGAAGUGGCGCCCCUCCCAAUGUGGAUCCUGAGGCCUACUCCUG
Molecule: long non-coding RNA, 401 nt
Filed under: Homo sapiens (human)
Lineage: Eukaryota; Metazoa; Chordata; Mammalia; Primates; Hominidae
Description: non-protein coding lnc-COL16A1-2:5
Source: RNAcentral